CUCAAAUGAAUUGACGGGGGAGCACCACAACGGGUGGAGCUUGCGGUUUAAUUGGAUUCAACGCCGGAAAUCUUACCGGGACCGACAGCAAUAUGAAGGCCAGGCUGAAGACUUUGCCGGAUUAGCUGAGAGGUGGUGCAUGGCCGUCGUCAGUUCGUACUGUGAAGCAUCCUGUUAAGUCAGGCAACGAGCGAGACCCACGCCCACAGUUGCCAGCGUACUCUCUGGAGUGACGGGUACACUGGUGGGGACCGCCGCUGCUAAAGCGGAGGAAGGAAUGGGCAACGGUAGGUCAGUAUGCCCCGAAUAUCCCGGGCUACACGCGAGCUACAAUGGUUGGUACAAGUGGGUAUCUACCCGAAGGGACGGGAAUCUCCUAAAACCAAUCUUAGUUCGGAUUGAGGGCUGCAACUCGCCCUCAUGAAGCUGGAAUCGCUAGUAAUCGCGGAUCAGCAUGCCGCGGUGAAUACGUUCCCGGGCCUU
This 483-nucleotide ribosomal RNA is filed under the name uncultured Methanosaeta sp. RNAcentral's name for it is "bacterial SSU rRNA". It matches the Rfam family "Archaeal small subunit ribosomal RNA", at positions 855 to 1338 of the family's 1478-position model. The record is from RNAcentral. Lineage: Archaea; Methanobacteriati; Methanobacteriota; Methanomicrobia; Methanotrichales; Methanotrichaceae.